UGGGGAAUAUUGGACAAUGGGGGCAACCCUGAUCCAGCAAUGCCGCGUGUGUGAAGAAGGCCUUCGGGUUGUAAAGCACUUUUAUCGGGAACGAAACAUUGUCGGCCAAUACCCGGCAAGACUGACGGUACCCGAGGAAUAAGCACCGGCUAACUCCGUGCCAGCAGCCGCGGUAAUACGGAGGGUGCAAGCGUUAAUCGGAAUUACUGGGCGUAAAGCGUGCGCAGGCGGUUUGUUAAGUCUGCUGUGAAAUCCCCGAGCUCAACUUGGGAAUUGCAGGGGAUACUGGCAAGCUGGAGUACGGUAGAGGACGGUGGAAUUCCCGGUGUAGCAGUGAAAUGCGUAGAGAUCGGGAGGAACACCAGUGGCGAAGGCGGCCUUCUGGACCAGUACUGACGCUCAUGCACGAAAGCGUGGGGAGCAAACA
Molecule: ribosomal RNA, 427 nt
Filed under: uncultured bacterium
Lineage: Bacteria
Description: bacterial SSU rRNA
Rfam family: Bacterial small subunit ribosomal RNA
Source: RNAcentral